RNAcentral lists this ribosomal RNA (501 nucleotides) under uncultured bacterium. Its description in RNAcentral is "bacterial SSU rRNA". It matches the Rfam family "Bacterial small subunit ribosomal RNA", at positions 28 to 532 of the family's 1533-position model. The record is from RNAcentral.
GACGAACGCUGGCGGCGUGCCUAACACAUGCAAGUCGAGCGGGGUUGAAGCGAGGGGUAACUCGGACUUCUACCUAGCGGCGGACGGGUGAGUAACGCGUGGGCAACCUGCCUCAAGGUUUGGGAUAACAGCUCGAAAGGGCUGCUAAUACCGGAUAUGCCUAUGGCCUCGCAUGGGGCUAUGAGCAAAGGGGAAACCCGCCUUGAGAUGGGCCCGCGUCCCAUCAGCUAGUUGGUGAGGUGAAGGCUCACCAAGGCGACGACGGGUAGCCGGCCUGAGAGGGUGACCGGCCACACUGGGACUGAGACACGGCCCAGACUCCUACGGGGGCAGCAGUGGGGGAUCUUGCACAAUGGGCGAAAGCCUGAUGCAGCGACGCCGCGUGAGCGAAGAAGGCCUUCGGGUUGUAAAGCUCUGUCUGGAGGGACGAACAAGAUGACGGUACCUCCGGAGGAAGCCACGGCUAACUACGUGCCAGCAGCCGCGGUAAAUCACGUGUAC